Long non-coding RNA from Glycine soja, 374 nucleotides. RefSeq lists it as uncharacterized. The transcript is spliced from 2 exons. The record is from RefSeq and is a predicted model, not a curated record. NCBI's taxonomy places the organism in Eukaryota, Viridiplantae, Streptophyta, Magnoliopsida, Fabales, Fabaceae.
CUUUCAUUAUCUCUCACAAAAUGGGCCACCAUUUCUUUUUGUGUGUCUGGAAUUAAGGGAAUUCAUCAUAGAAGCUUGUUUAGGAGGAGAGUGGCAGCAAUACAUGAAAAGGUUUGUAUGAACCCCAAUUAAGCAUAUGUAUGGUUUUAGUGGGGUUUUACAAACACCACUGCAGUACUCUGAUUCUCUGAAGUUGCAGUAGCAUUCACAUGUGGGCAGGGACAGUGAGCACUUGAUGGCAUGGAUCCAAUUAAGGACUAGGGAGAUUGCAUUUCUGUGUGCAUUUUUGUUUUGUUAUCUUAUAAAUUAGAGAUAUUGUUGAACCUUUAUUUUUUUUUAGUACGCAAUUUAAAAGCAAAUAUUUUUCCUUUUUA